This is an RNA transcript of Solanum pennellii, 1877 nucleotides long. RefSeq lists it as uncharacterized. The record is from RefSeq and is a predicted model, not a curated record. NCBI's taxonomy places the organism in Eukaryota, Viridiplantae, Streptophyta, Magnoliopsida, Solanales, Solanaceae. The transcript is spliced from 6 exons.
ACCUCACUGUCAUUGAUUCGCACAAUUGUUUUGUCCAUACGGCGCCGUGUCCCUUCUCUCUCUCCUGGAAACGCUCACAGGCCUUCUUUACGGGCGUGCGCCACAAAAUAGCUUUAAAUAAUCCUCUGUUUUGAUAAUUACUUUUUACCUAUAUCUUCUCACCUACAGUUUUUCUUUUGUCCAUUUUGUUGGUAAAGUACCUGCAAAAAAAAUAAACGAGAGAGGAUUUAUUGAAUCUGGGUUUGAUCUCAAAUCGAAAAUACACUAGGAUUCGUUCAUUUUUCGAUGGUUUUUUAACCUGGGAAGAGUUAUUUUUGGGUAUUUUUGUUCAUUUUUUUGGUGAUAAAAAUAGCAGGAGAAAGUGAAACUUGGAAGAUAUGGCGUCGCAUUUUGAUAGGUGGGAGAAAGAUCCGUUCUUUUCAGCUGCAGAAGAGGUUCAAGAAUCUGCCGACAGAAUGGAAUCAACUUAUAGGACGUGGAUUCAUGCGUUGAAGGAUACUUCUGGUAGUUGGAAUUGUGAUGCGCUUCGCAGGGACCUUAGAACUACCCUUGGCACUGCUAAAUGGCAGCUGGAGGAAUUUGACCGGGCAGUUAGAUCGAGCUACAAUAGUAAAUCUGCUGACGAUGCAAGAGAUAGACACCAUGAAUUUUUUAUUGCAAUCGACAGCCAAAUUAAGAAAGUUGAGAAAUCUCUUAAUGAAUCAGCUGUUUCACAAGGCAAACCACCACUUCCAUGGGUGAGGUUGGAUGAGGGAGAAGUCGAUGAACUUGCUGCAUUUCUCUCUGGCCCAUCCACCUCUUCUGCAGGGAUAAACCAUGCAAAAGUACAUGGAGUGGAGCUGCAAAUUCCCAAGUGGGAAGAGGCUGUAAAUCAGUCACUUCCCGAGUGUUCUGAGAAUCCUCUUCAUUCAGAGGAUGGUGUUCAAGGUGAGGCCAUAGACGAGAAGUUUCUGGGCCACCGGAGAACAGCAAGUGCUAGUGCUGACAUUGGUGCAUGGCAGAUUGCACUUGGCAAUGAUAUUUCCAUCAAAGAACCUGCACCCCCUCCUCGCAGAAUACCCAGUUACCAGGGAUUGUUGAAUGCCGUGGAAUCUGUUAAGGAGCUAAAAUGGCCCAAGAAUGGUUACAGGAAGCUGAAGUUCAAUCAAGAAACUGACAAUACAUUGCCGCGCACUCAGCCACCAACAAGGAACAUAAACACAUGCUAUGAUAGGAAUAAGAGUUGCCUUGAUGGUUGUGAUGAUUGUUAUGAUAAGCAACUGUAUGGUUGGUAUGGUGCUGUUCAGCGCCAGCUGCAAAGAUCUCAGUAUUACAUGCAAUAUCGUCGACCUGUUCGAAUAGUUUUCUCAGUGUUUCUUCUCAUUUUCCUGAUUGCAUCUCUCCAGCAAGAAUGAUUGGAGACUUCAACAAAUGAUUCAGGUUCAUGUGAAGAUUGAGCUGAGAUGAGUUCUAGUGGCAGUCCGGACAAUCUGAGAGAUGAACCUUUAUUCUUGUAAUUGAUGAACUUGCAAUGUCGAGACGGUCAGAGGAAAAAGGGCCUCAGUUUUGGUAUUACCUUAUAGAGGAAAGGUGUAAAUUACAUGUAAUUUUGUUCAGGUGAUGCAAAGCUGGUGCUAUUAUCUCAACAUACUUUGUAGUAAUACCUUAUCACCAUUAGUGGAGACCAAAUUAUGUUGUAUUAUGAUAUUUCGUCCAUCAGAAACAACCUUUCUACCUCUAAGGUAAGGGUAAGGUGUGCGUCUCCUCCAAACCCCAUUCUGUAGGAUUACACUGGCUAUGUUGUUGUAUACAGAAAUGAAAGAGAUGAUUAGGUCUAUUUGACUUGCUAAAUCAUGUAUAUUAUUGUAUUACUGUAAUUCACUUCUGGGUUUAAAGUU